Molecule: ribosomal RNA, 700 nt
Filed under: uncultured diatom
Lineage: Eukaryota; Bacillariophyta
Description: bacterial SSU rRNA
Rfam family: Bacterial small subunit ribosomal RNA
Source: RNAcentral
AGUGGCGGACGGGUGAGUAACACGUAAGAAUUUGCCUUUAGGAGGGGGAUAACAACUGGAAACGGUUGCUAAUACCCCAUACGCUUUCGAGUGAAAUGGAUUUCCGCCUAAAGAGAAGCUUGCGGCUGAUUAGCUUGUUGGUAGGGUAAUGGCCUACCAAGGCGACGAUCAGUAUCUGGUUUGAGAGGACGAUCAGACACACUGGAACUGAGACACGGUCCAGACUCCUGCGGGAGGCAGCAGUAGGGAAUUUUCCGCAAUGAGCGAAAGCCUGACGGAGCAAUACCGCGUGAGGGAUGACUGCCUAUGGGUUGUAAACCUCUUUUUUCAGGGAGGAACAAAAUGACGUGUACCUGAAGAAUAAGCAUCGGCUAACUCCGUGCCAGCAGCCGCGGUAAGACGGAGGAUGCAAGUGUUAUCCGGAAUUACUGGGCGUAAAGCGUCUGUAGGUGGCUCGAUAAGUCAACUGUUAAAUCUUGAAGCUCAACUUCAAAAUCGCAGUCGAAACUAUCGGACUAGAGUAUAGUAGAGGUAAAGGGAAUUUCCAGUGGAGCGGUGAAAUGCGUAGAUAUUGGAAAGAACACCGAUGGCGAAAGCACUUUACUGGGCUAUUACUGACACUCAGAGACGAAAGCUAGGGUAGCAAAUGGGAUUAGAUACCCCAGUAGUCCUAGCCGUAAACAAUGGAUACUAGGUGUUG